UGCGAAGGUGGAUUAGUAAGUCGGAUGUGAAACCCCUGGGCUUAACCUAGGAAUGGCAUCUGAUACUGCAAAUCUAGAGUAUGGUAGAGGGUAGUGGAAUUUCCGGUGUAGCGGUGAAAUGCGUAGAUAUCGGAAGGAACACCAGUGGCGAAGGCGGCUACCUGGCCCAAUACUGACACUGAAGUACGAAAGCGUGGGUAGCGAGCA
This 207-nucleotide ribosomal RNA is filed under the name uncultured bacterium. RNAcentral describes it as "partial 16S ribosomal RNA". It matches the Rfam family "Bacterial small subunit ribosomal RNA", at positions 568 to 774 of the family's 1533-position model. The record is from RNAcentral.